This is a long non-coding RNA of Crotalus tigris (Tiger rattlesnake), 1188 nucleotides long. RefSeq lists it as uncharacterized. The transcript is spliced from 4 exons. Lineage: Eukaryota; Metazoa; Chordata; Lepidosauria; Squamata; Viperidae. The record is from RefSeq and is a predicted model, not a curated record.
CACGUACCGAAUGAGAUAAAUUCAAUUUUAAAUGACCUUUCAAAUUAGUUUGGUACCUACACUCCACGUUUGAUUACAGUUGGAAUGCACUUUGCAGCCCAUUAUUACUGAUUGAGAUCUGAAAGACUCAUUGGACUUGGCACUGAAAUAAAAUAUGAUCUUUUGUUGUCAAAAAUCUACAGAAAAAUAAUAUUGAAGAAAUUGGGAAUACUGUUUCACUUGGGAAGACUGCGGAGUGAUAUGAUGUCACUUUUAGAAAGAGUCCCACACAGAAGAAAGUCAAGACAUAUUCUCCAUUGGACUUCCAGCUAAAGAGGUUGGAUCACUGCAGAGAAUGUCCUCAAGUCCCAUAUUGAAUAAGCAUCCCUGAAGAUGAUCACAGUCACUGUUGUUGUUGAGAUCAGUUGUCCACAAAGGAGGUUAAAAAAAUAAAGUUUCUUUCAAGUCAACUCAGUAAUGUUUUUGACCAUGAUACAGAAGUGAUUUGACAUUGCUUCCUUCAGGAUUUUUUUAAAAUUUUUUUCCAGUCUAUCCUAUAAUCCUGGUCUUUUCUAAUGGAUUCCCAUUCAAAUACUACCUAAAUCUGAUUCUGGUAUUAACAAGGCCAGAUAUUUUUAUUUCUAAUCCACAGCUUAAUCCUAAAGAUGAACAAAGUAACCACUAACUAUUUUUUUAGAAUAGAAUAGAGCUGGAAGGGACCUUGGAGGUCUUCUAGUCUAGCCCCCUGCUCGAGCAUUUGAAUACAUUACAUUGUAUUACAUUAAACUAGAAAGUGAUAGCUUUCAUUGUUGAAUACUAUGCACCAUUCCUGUUGUGCAUGCUGUGUUCAACCAUCAAAUGGCUUAAAUAAGUAAAAUAAAUUGUGCCAGCAAAGUGCAAAUUUAUUACAAGAGCAAGUGUUCUAAUUCUACCACAUUUCUAAAAACAAUGUUUUUAAAUUUGAAAUAAGGUUACAUUCAAGAUCCUCCCAGAGGAUCUAUUUGUUUACAGGGCAGAUGUAAACAUAUGUAUAAGUCCCCAACUGUGUAGCGAAUCUAAACUCUGUUAGAUAGUGACUUAUUCCAGCAAAUUUCUUCUUAAAUUCUGAACUCUCUGUGAUAAUGGCAUUCUUUCUGGCUUUUAACCACAGUUCACAUUUAAUUUAAGCCAGUGAAAGUAAGGUGAUUAACCGUCCUCCUUUAGGGAGGU